UUGUUUUUUUUUUAAUGUAUAUUUUCUCCAAAUUAUGAAAACUCAUUUUGCUUUGCACAUUUUGAACUACAGGUGAAACUUCAUGGAUCGUUUGAUUUUAUUUUUGUGGAUGCUGAUAAAGACAACUAUCUUAACUACCACAAAAGGUUAAUUGACCUUAUCAAAAUUGGAGGUGUCAUUGGCUACGACAACACCCUUUGGAACGGGUCUUUAGUGGCCCCACCAGAUGCACCACUCAGGAAGUAUGUUAGGUAUUACAGAGAUUUCGUGUUGGAGCUUAACAAGGCAUUGGCCGUUGAUCCGAGGGUGGAGAUUUGCCAACUUCCGGUCGGUGAUGGAAUCACUUUGUGCCGUCGUAUAAGUUAAUCACAAAUCACGGAUAAACUUUCGUACACAUACAACUGUUCUUUCUUUCUUUUUUGAGAUUCGUACGUGUAUCCAAGUCUUGUAAGAGAACGAGGGGUUUAAUCUUGUGCUUUUCUGAGACAGCUUAUAGCAAUAAUUUUUGUCAAAAUUGACUCUUUUGGAGAGAGCAAUUGUGUUUCGCAAAAACGAAAAAGAGCAAUGAGUUUUUUGUUUGUGACACAUACAUAGACAACCAUACACAACACAAAGUCACAGAGGUUAUGUAAACAAAGUGACAAUAUUAUGUAAUAACAUUGUAUUUUGAAAGCCCUUAUAACUAUAGCUGGACAUUAUUUAAAAAGGAUUACAAACAAUCAUAAAUAAACAUGCAUAUUGACUGGGAAAACGAAUAUUUAAAAGACAGUAAUUCUUAUAUCUUUUCCUAGCCUACAAUAUACAUGAAAGCGAUUAUGUAAAAAAAAAAAAAAACUUUUAUAAAGGAAAAUCUAAAUAAGAAUAAACAUAAAAGUGGAUAUGUAAAAAUACUAAUUCUCCAAAAAAAAAUGUGAUUGUGAAUUCAUAAAAAGAUAGGUGUAAAAAGAUGUAAAAGAAAUUGAAAGUAAAAGCUAUUUAUCAAAACAAAGAGUUUUCAAAAAACAUAUAGAAAAUAAGUUGAGAAAUAUUUGUAAAGAAAGUUUAGACCGGUUCAUAAAAAAAAUAAUAACAUGGCCAAAAUUGAAAUAUCUGAAAAGUGGGUAGGACUUCUAUAGGUCCGAAUUCAAAUAAAUAAAUAAAUAAAAAUUAAAAAAUUAAAAAAAAUUAAGGAUUAUUUUUAUAAAUUUCUCUCAUAGACACCACUUCUUAUUAAGGAAACUAUUACUCAUUGACCGAGUGUUGCUGUGUGUUGAUUGUAUUUUCCUUUCACCUUUAGCUAUAUUUAGAUAGUUAUUAUGGUUCUUAUUAUUUAUCAUAGAAUUAACCUUAGAUAUGAGUCUCUUAGCAUUGUAUGUAUCUUGUAAAUGGCUAUUUAUAGCCUUUUUAUUCCGUCUAAUAUUACAUGGCAUUUUUCCAUUCAUAAAUCAAAAUCUCAUAUGGCAUUAGAGCAACCAAUCUCAAAUGAGAAUUGAUCAUCUGCACCUCCUUCUUUCUUUUCCGAUCAAACACCCCCAUGACACCAAUCGCAAUUGUUCAACUUACUGCCUCCACCCACUUUAACGUCACCCUUACUAGCGACAAUUUUCCAGUAUGGCAUAAGCACGUCCACUUAACCUUAAUUGGCCUUGAUCUCGUUCACUUCAUCAUCGAAACCAAUAACGCUCCACCAUAGUUCAUAGACGUCGAAGCCAAUAAACCGAAUCCAGAUUACCAUCAAUGGUUUCCACAGGAUCAAAUCAUUCUAGCUAGCAGGAUUUCUAGGCAGCUGCUCACCCACCAUCCAACCAAUGAUUGCAUCAUCCAACACUGCUAGGUAAGCGUGGGAACGAUUGGUAACCAAUUAUGCGAACUCAUCUCGGUUUCAAGUCAUUUCACUAAAAUCCAAACUAGCAUCUAACCCCAAAGGCACUCAUACUGUCACUGAAUACCUACAUGACAUGAAGUCAAUCGUCGAUGAACUAGCAUUUGUUCAAACCCGGUGACAGACGAGGAUCUCAUGGUUCACUUUCUCUGUCAAUUAGGAGAUGACUUCAAAAAUGUUACACAAUCACUUCGACUACUUGAUUUAAAGCUCACCUUCCCAAAAUUACUUGAGAAGCUUGUUGAUUUUGAAAGAGAACUUCAACAACUAACCACUGUUCCGCCACCCCUCAUGGCUACAACCAACUUCACCCAAAAACACUCAAGGACCAAUGCAAGAUCUGCAACAUACAGAAGCAACAUGCAAAACAACUUCAACAACAGACCAUUACACAAUUAAUGGUCUAAUAAAUCUGAAUUCAAUAACGGUAACCGUGAUACCGAUACCAAUAUUUAUUGUGAAUAUUACAACUUUGCAGGGCAUAUGAAGCAACAAAGUGUCGGAAACUUGUCGGCUUUCUCCGUGAAAAUCAUGUUACCAAAGGAAACUUUAUGACCCAAGGCAAGGCUUCACCAAUUUCUAAUGUCACAACAUCCUCCUAUAUGUUUUAUAUAGGAGCUUCUAAUCAUGUCGAUCCAGAUCGUACACCGUUUCACUCCAUUUCCGAAUAUGGCGGACCGGAUGAAAUUUUGGUAACACCCUCUCUAUAACCCAUAUUGGUCAAACACAACUUUAUACGUCCAAUGGAUCUCUUGUCUUAAAAGAUGUUUUGUGUGUUCCUCAAUUCAAAAAUAAACUUAUUUAUGUUGCAAAUUUGUGCAAAACUAACCAAGUUUAUGUGAAAUUCUUUCCCACUCAUUUUUUUGUCCAGGAUCUUCAAAAUUAAUUGUCAUCGUACAAUGAAUGAGAUGGCAAACGGGCAACAAGCUGUACCGCUAAGCCUUUUUGAAAGGUAAAGCUAAUUCUUUUAAAGACUACAUCCGAAGAUCUAGGGGAUAUAACAUUACUAUGCAUGAUUCGUUGUACUCUUUUAAGAAGCUCUACUGCAUCCAGUGCGAGGAAACCAAACGUAUCAAAUGCAAAUGGUAUGAACACGUGUUGAUUUUCCAGGCACGAUCUCUCAUGUUUGGUGACUUUGCCUGUGGCUGCUUUUAAAGCAGCAUGUCCCGCUGUGAAACCCCUAGCCCUCAAGCCCACGAGAGGGGAUACCCCUGUAAGAUCCACACAUGCGUGUUUCCCUCCGAACCAUCCAAAAAUCAAAAUAUCAGUCGGUCUGAGGGUAGACCUUCCUUCUGUCGGUUCAGUCGAGAAAUUAACAGGUGCCUCUUUCUUAGCGGAAACCCCGGCACGCUUAAAUAUGUCAAACAAAAAAUCCCUAACCAUAUCGUGCCUGUAUUUGAACCCCGGGAGUUCUUUACAGUGAACUGCAUGCUCUCCAAAAGAGUCCAAACAUGUCUUGCGACUCAACCUCAACUAAAUGAAUUACCUUGAUGUUUACUAUGCAAACCUUCCAACUCAACCUCAACUAAAUUAUUACAUUACCUCUUGAUUGGCAUCACAAACUUGGCUAUCCUUCUAUUCGAAUUCUAAAAAAAUAGCCAAAUAUUUAAAUCUACAUUUUAAUAUACUCAACUUUCAUUGUAAUUUGUGUUCCAUCAAUAAAAGUUACAAAUAUUAUUUUGGCAUGAACUCGUUUACUACUACCAAACCUUUACGAUCAAUAUAUUAUGAUGUUUGGGGACCAGUAGAAAAAUCAAUUGAUGGUUUCACUUACUAUGUUAUUUGUGUAUACUUUCACACAAAAUACGUUUGGCUAUAUCCAAUGAAAAAUAACUAUGAUAUCUCCACUUUAUUUCCACAUUUCAAAUUGUUGAUCAAAAAUAUUUUCAAACAACUCUAAUCUCUCUCUUCAUCGACAAUGGUGGAGAACAUAUCAGACUUACCACAUAUCAAUCUUAAUGUAGUUCAUAUUUUAUCUCCCACUACAUACCCUGAAACAAAACGGUGUUGCAGAACGGCGUCAGCCACACAUUUUCAAAAUUGGUUUAUCACUUCUUCACUAUGCUCACCUUCCUCUCUCAUUUUGGACACAUGGCUUUCAACCCAUCGUUUAUCUCAUAACCCAUCUACCUACUCCAAUCCUUAUUUUCAACUCUCCGUACUCCAUUAUCUACAAACAAGAACCAACUAACACCAAAACCAAACCCUUUGGAUGCUUAUGUUAUCUGUGGCUUCGCCCAUAUGCAAAAUCCAAACUCCACCCCUCACUUAGAAAAAUGUGUAUUUUUAGGCUACUCAUCAUCCAAAUUGAUCUACAAAUUCUAUGAUAACACCAACCAAUGACUAUACCUCUCCUAACACAUGGAGUUCAUUGAAGCUACAUUUUCAUUAAAAGCUCAAAAUUCUCCUUCGAUCUUUCCUACUUUGGAUGAACUUUUUGGUAUCCAUUCAUCCCAAUACACUCACCCUUCCCCAUCAUCACCUUAUUUUACUCACUCGACCCAAUCUAUAUACAUCCCACCAUUAGGCUCACUUGACCCACCUAUACCAACCCAACCCUAUCUCCUAUUUCACCAAUACCAUCUACCACAUCCUUCCCAAAUAAUACCAUUGAAUCUCAAACUCCUACAUAUUCUCAAAAUGUCACUAGAUAUCACAUCAUUUCCUUAAACAUCUCACCAUCGUUAUAAACCUCUAAUUAUUUACCCUCACCUUCCAUGCUACCCCCACACACCUGCAAACCAAAUUCCAAGUGUUAUAACUGUAAAUUUGUUAAUCACACUACCAUCCAUCCUAUAUCUUCAACACUUGAACCAACAACUCACAAUCAAUCCUUAACAGAUCUUGAGUGAUGUAAGUCGAUGGAUAAUGAGUUUAAUGAUAUUAUCCAAAACACCACAUAGGAUCUUGUCCCUCCUUCGCAACACAAACCGAUCGACUGUAAGUGGGUAUUUCGCAUCAAAGGGCGUCCCAAUGGGUUUGUAGAUAAAUAAAAGGCUUGUCUGGUUGCCAAGGGGUUCCUUUAAUAAUAUGGCAAGGAUUAAUUUGAAAUGUUCAUCUAGGUCACUAAACUCAUAACUAUUUGUACGAUUCUCGUUGUUGCUCUAUCUUAAAACUCGACAAUCCGAUAACUUGAUGUUAAAAAUGCCAUCUUGCAUGGCAUUCUGCAUGAAGAUUUUUAUAUGUCCCAACCACCCGACUAUGUCAAUAAGGAUUUUCCAAAUCACUUUUGUCAUCUUCGGAAAUCUCUUUAAAGGAUCAAGCAAGCACAGCGAGCAUGGUACAUGGAACUUGCCACAUUCCUUCUUGAACUUGAUUUUUGCAAAUCCUCGACCGAUCUAUCUUUCUUCAUCUACAAAUGGGGUGGCAUUAUCUUGCAUUUCUUGGUAUAUGUUGAUGAUAUUGUCUUCAGCAGAAACAAUAAUCUAUUUAUUCAACAUAUCCUUCAUGCGUUAUUCAAAAAAAUUUCCAUUAAAAAUCUUGGCAUGCUACACCACUUUCUUGGUAUAGAAGUUAUUAACACAACUACUGGUUUAUUUCUAUAUCAACAUGCUCAUGUCCAAAAUUUACUCACCAAGUUUAAAACGGAUGGAGCUAAACCUGUUUCCACACCACUUAGCCCUACUGAGCCUCUCACUUUCAUUGUUGAUUAGCUUACUAUUGACCCUACCCUGUAUCAUUAACUGGUGGGCUCCCUCAAAUAUCUUUCUUUCAUUUGACUAGAUAUUUCCUAUACGGUCAACAAACUCUCUUAAUACAUGCAUGCACCAACUUAACUCCAUUGGUAAGCCUUAAAGCGGUUUCUUCGAUACUUGAAAGGCACCAAUAUUCAUCAGAGUUUGGUUCUAAACUGCGGCUCCCCCAUCGACCUUAUAGCGUUUACCGAUUCUAAUUUAGGUGGAGUUACCGACAGGGGGCAUUCCACAACUGAAUAUAUUAUCUGCAUCGGCUCCAACAUCAUCUCAUGUUGUUCAUCACAUUAAAAACCAAUUUCUCGUUCUUCAACUGAGGCGGAGUACAAGGAAUUAGCAAAUGGUGCAACUAAACUAUCUUGGGUUCAAAAUCUACUAUUAGAAAUUGGCAUAUCGGUAAUUAAACCUCCUAUAUUACUUUGUGACAAUGUUGGUGCUACUUACCUGUGUGCCACUCAGUCUAUCACUCACAUAUAAAGCAGGUGGCACUCGACUAUCACUUUUUUCGAGAAAAGGUAACUAAUGCUUCAUUACGGGUUCUACACGUUCAUUCUGUUGAUCAACUUUUUGAUGUAGUCACUAAACCUCUAGGUCGGGGUCCCUUUCACCUCUUUCGGUAGAAGAUUGGAGUCUCUAACAGAUCCUACAUGUUACCAGGGCAUAUUAAGGAAACUAUUACUCAUUGACUUUGUAUUGAUUGUAUUUCCACUUCACCUUUAGCUAUAUUUAGAUAGUUAUUAUGGUUGUGAUUAUUUAUCGUAGAAUUAGCCUUAUAUAUAUCUUCUUCAAUUGUAUAUAUGUUGUAAAUGGUUAUUUAUAGCCUUUGUAAUUUGCCUAAUAUUACAGAGCAUUUUUCCGUUCACAAAUCUAGAUUGCAUACUUCUAUCUAUUUGAAAACUAUGAACACUAAAAAUAUGUAGAUGAUGUAUUCUGGAACCGUAACAACUAUUUGCUAAAUGUUAAUAUAUUGAAUUCUAUGUAUAAUUACGUUUAUGUAGAUUAACAAACAUUAAUGUUAUUCUUCAGGAGUUUAAUAUCCUCAUAAUUCAUUACCCUCUAUUUAGUUAAAUGCAAGAUAUUUCAAGAUGAUACACAACUCUUCCAAAAGACAAAUAAUGUGUGUCCUUCAUUUUUAGGUUGAGAAUUGUUCAAUAGAGAUUGAAACAUAUGUCCCUUUUUAUUGAAGUUGCUUAUGUUUUCAAAAUGACACUUAUUUGGGGUGAGCAUCGGAAACCGGGUACCCACAUUUUGAACUAGAACCACCUUAAAGUUGUUGGUUCUGGAACCUAUUAAAGCUAUAAGUGAAGGAUCUAUAUAUUCAAUAAUCAUUUUAGAAUGAUGUUAUCAAUAACAUAUGAUCAUAUAGGGCCCCACCAAUAACAAGUAGACAAAAACUGAAUAUUUAUAUGAAUUUCAUUCUUGAUAAAUAUUUAUAACUCUUGCAAUUAAUUGGAAUUUAUGAAAAUAAUAAUUUACAAUAUUAUUAUCAAAAUAAGAUCAUAAGGUAUGAUUUAUAAAGUCAUAUACAUCCUUUUGGUCUUAAAUGGUUUUUGGUAUAAAAGAUAUAUACAACAUAUGGUUAUAAAAAGAACGUAAAACCUUUAUAUUUCUCUCGUCUUUUUUUUAACCAAAAUUGGGGGUAGAGUUAGGAGGGACAAUAAUUUUCUUACUUGUUUUGACUUCCCAUAUUUUAAACUUUUUUUACGCUUUCAAAACCGUGUAUUCUUUGUUUGCGGAAAAUGUCUCAUUUUAUUAAAAUAUCUUGCGUACAGAUGUUGUUUCAAAAUAAAAAAUAAGGUUGUCAUUAUCAAUACACAACAUAAGUUACAACGUAAAGACGUAGCGGUUAUAAAUACUAUUGCAGGUUGUCUUUUUAUUUACUCGACCUCCUAAUCAAAUUCCAGCAACCUUAACACCGUUUCUUGUGAUACAUAUAAUUUGAGUGGUUCGGGUUUGGAAACCUGGUGAGACACAUAGGGUUUUCAAUCCUAUAAUAUUCUAAUGAUAUUAAAUCGUAUAAUAAUCCUACAAAACCAACUCUUAACAAACAAUAUAUCUUACUUCAUAAAUAUCUUUAAGAUAUUAAUCCCUUUUCUCCUUAGUUACCCUAGCCUGUCAAUUCUCACACACUAAUCUAUAACAAUGAUCCCUUGAGAUCCAACCUGAUGGAUCGCUGUAAGUAACGAAUAGACUAUAUUGCCUCGAUGAUUCCUUGGUAAAUGUAAGUCAAUAAACUCAACCGCUAAGGGGGUAUAUUACACGAAUGAGCAAAUAAUCAUUUUCCCUGGAUAAGUGUAACAUCCCAAAAAUCAAGGUCAAUAUGUCACAAACAUAGUUUCCCAAGUGUCAAUAGUCACAAAUCAAAGUAUCUCAGAAAAACUGAAAGAUGUGCACGAUCAAGCUUUCGCCAUGCCCCGAUCAUCUGAAGUACUUGAAAACAUGAAACCAAACUGUAAGCAUGAAACUUUAUGAGUUCCCCUAAAGUACCACCACACAAACAUAUAACAUAUACAAUCAUGAAUGUUGGGUCCAAUCAAUCAUCGGACUAGAAUACCCUCAGCUCUACAACCUCCCAGUUGGAUAACCCUUGGCCUACAACCUUCCGGUUGGAUUGCCCUGGCCCACAAUCUCCUGGUUGCAUUGCCAUACAUACUACGUAUUGGGUCCACAAACUCCCAGUUGGAUUACCUCGGGUUUGUUGGCUGACAGCACAAAGCAGUAGAGUCCCAACCCAACCACACAAUGUCAACAUAUGCAUCAGAUAAACAUAUAACAAGUCACCAGACAAACAAGCAGAUCUAUAGGUCACUACCGCAUAGCAGCAUCCUAUAUACUAGGAUACGAAUCUAACAGAUCACUAUAGUAUAACAACAUCAUAUAUACCAGGAUACAUAACCUAGUGGGCCGGUAUUAGUGCCUUCGACCCAUAAGUACAGAGAGGAAAACUCACCUCUCAGUUUGAAAAGAUAGUCGAACGCAGCCUAACUCCAUAUAACAACUCUACUGGUCACAUGUACAACAAAUAGUGACCUAGUCUCAAACUAUUAUCCAAAAUUACCCAAAAUACCCUUAGGUCAAACUUGGUCAAAACCCUGCUCAAAGGUCAAAGUCAACAAGUCAAGAAGUCAAACUUCAGGUUAUGUACGCCCAGCGUACUCAGCUCCUACAGAUGACGUACUCACCAUCCAAAAAUGUGACUCCAUAUGGGUACAUGCGACGUACUCGAUCAGAUUGCAUUUUUCCAUUCAAUUCUUAUUCUUUUAAGUCAUUUCGUCCAACACUCAAAUCUAGACCCAUAACAUUAUUCUAAGUCAUAAAGUUUCCACCUUUAUGACUUUCCAUGGCUAGACAAGGUCCAAAAGCUAAAUUCCUAACUUAAUGAUCCUUUAAGACACUAUGACUCUUACAUGGAAGGGAUAUAAGGAACAAGAUCACAUUUUUAUGGCUCUUAAUAGCUCCAUAAUGGAUAAAUUUUCCAACUUUAUCCACUAGGAUAAUCCAAACAACCAAGAUCUAGUCUUUAAGUCUCAAAGGGACCAAAAAUGCAUCUUUCAUAACUUAAUCCAUUAAGUCCAAGUCUCCAACCUUCAGAUAUGAAUCAACAUGAUGAAUAGAUGGAUGAAGUUUCCAACUUUAUCCAUAAUAAUGUAUCAAGAUUUCAAGAUCUAAACUUUAUUACCCUAAAAUAACCUAAAUGACCAAGAUAAUUUGCAUGGUUGAAUGGGAAGCCAAAAGAUCAAAGUUUUCCUAGUCUAAGAGGUCCAAGAAAACAUUCUAAACCGAUCUAAAAGGUAUUUGAGAGUUAAGAUCUCUAAUUGUCAAGCUUCCAAGAUCAAUAUCGCAUGAAAACAUUGCUCCAAAAAGCACCAAAAACUCUAAAAAUGGAUGAGGGAAGAGAGGGGAGGCUCAAAACUUGAAAAUAGAGGUUAGGGUUUCUCCCAAGAGGUUCUAGAUAUGAUAGAUGCUAAGAAAAUAACCUAAAACAUGAAUCCUUACCUUUAAAUACCUUGAAAACCCUAAAAAUUUUGUGGGUUUUGGGCUGCAUAGUUCUCAUGUCGUGAGAAUAUAUUCUCACCUUAUGACCACUCUCACAUCGUGAGAAUCACUUCUCACCUCGUGAGAAUGGGUUUUCACCCAAUUUCUCUCCAACUUCAAACAGACACAACUUUUUCGUUUCAACUCCAUUUUCGAUGAUCUUUAUAUCCACGGAAAGGUAUUGACGAACCCCAUACUUCUAUCUAGCUAUUGAUGGCUUAACAGAUGUCGAAAUAAAAAACAUAACUCAUGAAAGAAGUCUAAAACAUCACUUUUCCCAUUUUACCCAUUUGACUCCAAGACACAAACCAAGGCUUUAAUCACUUAUCUAACAUUGUCAUCAUCCAAUAAGAUCUAAUACCCAUUCCAUUGAAGCCUAAGACCUUUACUUAAUCCAUUUAUUGUCCACAAUCCAAAAAUAAGAAACUUCUCAAAACUGGCUGUGACAACUCUCCCCACUUAAACUGAAUUUUGUCCUCGAAAUCCAUCCUGGAUAGAAUCUCUGAAGCUAAUGUCUACAAAUUGCACAAGCUCUAUUUAACCCCUUCGAAUUCAAGGAAUCUAUCCAGAGAAGUUGAGAGAUCACUCAGAAACCCACUGUUGCUAACAAAAAAAUCCAAUAACUUGAAAAUACUCAACCACAACUGAAAUUGUAAGACCUAACUUCCAGAGAGAACGAAUCAUACCGAGAACUCUUAAAACUACAACCACAAAUCAACUUCAUCAAUAUACUUCCAAGAACUGGGAACCCAUAGUAUAAACUACAGAAUCAUACCCUAGGAUUGAUGAUCAUCCAUAUAUUGUAACUACCCCUAGUCCUUGACUAGGAACACCACCAAAUCAUGCAGAAAGAAUACUUAAAAGACACCGAUCGUGAAUUUCCACAAUCCUAAAUCUGAAAAUUGUGCCCAAAAACCUAAAAUACUCACUUGACUCCUAACAAGUAACGAUUAACCCACUACUCCCACAAGCAUAAUGAUGGUCUAUAAUUUCACGUUGCAUCCAAAUUCCUUAUCAGCUCAUAUGUACCUCCACCUGACAAAAUCACUCGAGACAUUCACAAUGGACUUCAUGACUUGAGAUUCCAUAACUUAUACCCAACAUUGGUAACCAACUCCUAAUAAAUGGCCCACAAGACAACAAGGCUCAUAAUGCAGUCACUCUGCAAUAGAAUUUUGAUGCACAACUAUUACUCCCAACAACCUUUAACUAUCAUACUCUUCUAUUACGUACAAUUCCUUUCACAAUACAGGCUGCUACCAGUGUGAAAUUAGACGAAAACAUGGUCGCACACGACCAUAAUGAGAUAGGUGGUUGUACUCUUAUUCCUUUUCAAAGGCUACAAACCAAUUAAGAACCAUGUCAAUAACUCGAGCCAAGUACUCUCAUGCUAUUAUACUCAUCCUAUAUACAUCCCUAAGGGAAUGCAUAACUAGCCCUGGAUCUAAUGCAUUCCUUUUUCCCCACAACCUUACCCAGAGGGUGUGGCACUUGUAGAUCUAUCCAGAAUGUCGAACUUCAACCACUAAUAGAAACAUCCUCAUAAGUGGAUGAAACAAGAUCCCACACUUUGAAAAAUAAACGAUGCUGCCAAUAUGUAACUAACGCGAUAAAGCUUCCAAAGUUAUCCAGAAAUGUUGUUAAAACCUCGGGUUUGUUACGAACAAUACUUCCAUAAUCAACAUUUCAGGGUACCCAUACCUAAAAAUUAAAAGGUUUAAUGUAUAGAUUUUGACAACGGUUGACACAUCCAUUGACUUCCAUUGAUAAAACACGAAACUUCCGAUUAAACUCAGCUAUUGAUGAUGAACAAAUGACCAACAAUCGAUAGUUCGAAGCGUAAGUGAUCACGUGACCCCUCUGCAUAAGAACUGCCCCCAAACCCAUCAUCGGUGCCUCACACAAUCUCUGUCUCAGGGUCUCAAAAGUUGUCUGUUGCUCAGGCCCCCAACGAAAAGUGACGGUCUACUUCAUCAAUCGGGUAAAAGGAACUGCUAUCUUGGAGAAAUUCUGGAUAAACCUCCGAUAGUAACCUGCUAAACCAAGGUAAAUCUGAAUCUCAGAUGGAGACCUCGGAACCUCAUCAUGGCCUCGAACUUGGCCAAAUCAACCAGAAUAUCGUUCUGGUUAAGAAGGUGCCCCAGAAAUUGCACCUCGUGUAACCAAAACUCACACUUGGAGAACUUCUCAAAAAGCCUCUCCCUCCUCAAAGUCUCUAGAGAUGCAUUCAUGUAUGAUUAUCAAGUAUGGGCUUGAUUAAUCUUCCUCGAUAUAAUUUGACUAUAAAGAGUAAGUGAGUUUUCAAGGGAGAAAACAUACAUGAAUAAAAAUCUUUCCAAGAUUUAAGUUAACAUCUCAAAGUAAGAAUCUUCUUUCUUAUAAGUUAAUUACAUGGUGUGAUUUAAUUAUGAAUCUAGAUGAUUCUUGUGUUUUCUACAAAGCUAGUGGGAGCGCAGUAACAUUCCUAAUGUUAUAUGUAGUCGACAUAUUAAUUCAUGGAAUAAAGAUCUAUAUAGAUAGAUCAUGGCAACUUAAAGGAUUAAGUAAAAUUGCAUUAAUUGUCAAGGAUCUUAAAGGAGCUUAAAAUAAAGGACUCUGAGAGAGUCAUCUUGUCAAAUACUGUAUGACAUGAUUUUGAGCAAAAUCCUAGUGCAAAUGUUUUUUUAACUAGAUAAUAUGAUUGUAUUCCGUACGCUGAUGCAAUUGGAUUAAUCAUAUAUAUCAUAAUUUUGCACAAAGGCCAAAUAAGUCGUAUGCUUAGAGCAUGUCAAAUGAUACCAGUAUAAUCCGACAACAAGUCAUUGUGUGACUUAUAGGAACAUUCGAAAGUACUUGCGAGAACUAGAGAAAUAUUCCUAAUAUACAUAGUAUUUGAAAGAAAGCUAUGUGUAAGGUUGUUACACAUGUGCUAAAUUUUCAAAUAGAUUGAGAUGACUCUCAGUCACAAUUGGGUGUGUCCUCGUUAGGAAUGAAGAGAUAGUUAAAUGGAUAGUGGCUCCAUGUAGAUUUCAAUUACAUUUACACAUCAGAGUUAGAGUACAUCGUGGUUUGGAGAACCACGUACAAAGAUGCUUAAUGUAUAGUUCAUUAUGACUAUAAGUAAUCCCGUUACACAAGUAUUGGUAUCUAAGUCAUAUUCAAGCUUCUAAUUCAUUCUCAAUAGUUUUCCUUUAUAUAUGAGUUAUAUAUAUAUAUAUAUAUAUAUAAUANUCGCAAAGUUUACACAAAUCAAGUAUUUCGAAUCUACUUAACAAAGCUGCUUCAUUAGCUAAAGCAUGAAAGUCAAGCUGGUGCUAUAGAGCAUUGUUGAUACAAGUAGAUGUAUUUGAUUGAAAUUUAGUAUUUGGAUAUUGAAACAAUAAAGCAACAUAUAUUGUAAUGAAUGAUAUAUUGGAUAUGAGUCUUUCAUUAAAUAAUUGUUGUGUUCUAUAUUAGCAUGCUUAAAUCCUUGAAUAACUAGGUUAUUCUAAAUGUUCAUAGUCGUUCAUAGUUGUGGGAGCAUCUAUGAGGUAAGACUAAUAUGAGUGGAUUGGUGGGUUCUCAAAGAGAUGAGAAUGGAAAAGAGUUGCUACCAACUUCAUAGGUACUUGAUUGGGAGAAUAAGUAUUGGACUUGACCCGCAUCAAACCACUUUAUGAAUCGUAGUCAAGAGUGAUGUUUUGAUCAAGGUUAUAUCUUUUUAAUCUUAGACCUGAGAUACAUAUUUGGGACUUGAAGUGUAGGGAUUGUUGUGAUUAGACAUGGUUUAACGUUGUUUCGUAAAAAGCAGUCAUAAGGGCCAUCGUUGGAUAUGACAUGAACUACAUUGAUAAGCAUAUGUAGUCAAGAUGAUCUUUGUAUUCUUAGACCUGAGAUACAUAUUUGGGACUUGAGGUGUAGGAAUUGUUGUUAUUUGACAUGGUUUACCACUGUUUCAUAAAAGGUAGUCAUAAGGGCCAUUGUUAGGUAUAACAUGAACUACAUUGAUGGGCGUAUGUACUCAAGAUGGGAUUUGUCCCUCUUACUCAUUGAUAGCAUGACAUCUAAGGCCUUAAUUAAAGUUGAACAGUAAAUGAGAUUAAUUGUGAUCCAUAUCUCAUGUUCGACAUGAUGUCUAAUACAAAGGAAUAAUAGAUACCACACCUUUAGUAACAAUUGUAGCUUAGAGCUCCUGGAAUUAGAUGUUGAUGAGAUGGCACCCUUCAAAUGUUGUUAGGAGAGUAGGUCGUUGCUAGACGUUAGUUACUGUCUAUGUCAGUCUAUAAUUAAUCUUGUGCAGGUGGGAGAUUGUUGGAUCUAUAUGUCCAAAAAUCAUUAUGGAGUGAUAUUGUUAAUAAUAUAUGAUUCUAUAGGGUCACACCUUUAUCAAGCUGGCACAUUUUGUAUAUUUAUUAUUAAUAUGAUUAUUAAUAAAUAAUAUCAAUUCUUGUAUUUAAUUAGAGAAAAAUUAUUGUUCUAUGAAAACAAUAUUGUAAAAAGUAGAAAAAUAGUCUUUAUUUGAUAAGGUAUCAUAUAAUAAGUCAUGUAUAAAGUUUUGGACACUUUAGUUAACCAUGAUUAAAUCAAAGGUUUACUCUAUCAUGGUUAAAAGGACAAGUGAACAUUAUUUUAAUAUUUAGGCCAUAUGGCCGAAAAUAUGGAGGAGUAUGGAGGUUGCUUGUCAACCUCCAUCAACUUGUCACCAUGCCUCUUCUUUUGUAGCCCAUACCUUGAAUAUUAUAUUCAAAAUGUCAUGCUUGGAUGGGGUUAUAAAAAAAAAGGGUCUCUUACAUGAAGAUCAAGCUAUUUUUUGGUCUAAGAAAAUCACUUAUUCUUCUUCUUUUUCUCUAUUAAAACCGUGAGCAUGAAGGGAUUGGAGCUCCCAUUCAUUUGAAGAUUAUCCAUGUCUUUUGGUGGUUCAAAGUGCUUCUCCUUUAGUGCUUAUUUGAGUUAAACACUUAAAGGCUUAAGAAAUAUUUUAUACAAGAAGGAACUAGCAUUCCAAGUGCCUUACUCUUGAUGGUGGAUACUUGUAGAGAAGAUCAUACACUUUGAUCUUUUGUUAUCUUCAUCAACACCCCAAAACCUAGUGGGUUCAAAGGCUUCAAAGGUUAUCUCUAAAACAUCAUAUGGUUGUUUUUUUUUUAUUUCAUUCUAACCUCUAUAAAUGGAUCCAUGAUGGUGUGGUUUCGUUAUGAGCUAAAAAUAAGCUUGUUAUUUUUAAAGUCUUCCGUUGCCAUUUUUUAUGAAAAAAACAAACUUUAUUUCAUAUCAAAACCCAACACUAGAAUCCCUAAUUGUCUCCAUUGACAAAUGUGUGAUCUUGAAGACAUGCUUCUUAAGUCGAUAAAGAGGGGAGUCGGGAAACAACUUCAUGGAAAGCAAGAAACAACUCAAAAUCAAGGAAAUAUGAGGGAAUAAAUAUCGGAGUCAGUCUUAUAUUUACAAGAAUAAGCCGGGAAACAGCUUCAUGGAAUGCAAUAAAGUAAUAAUUGUUGGAAAUGAUGUCCAAAGUCAUUAACUUCUUAGGUAAUAUUUCUAAUAAUAGCAGGGUUCUUUUGGGUUGGCUUCAUGACCCAAAUAGUAUAAGGAAAUGGAGUUUUAAAAUGUGUUAAUUUAUUAAGGAAUUAACAAAUUAAUUAGAAAUUAUUUUGGUAAAUGAAUUAAAAUGAUUUAAUUAAUUAAAAGAGGUUAAAUAUUAAUUAAUCAUAUGAAUUAAUUGGAAUAUUACAUAACCGCCCGGAAGACAUGAUGUAGACAGUUUCUAGAUCCCUAGGAUAUGGAUAGAGUUGGUUUGAAUGUGAUAAGGAUAAACCCUAGAGUUUGUAUCCAUCUAGGAUUCUAACAACUACUUAUAAAUAAAUUGUUAGGGUAAACCCUAGAGCUAGUUAUUCUCUUCUUUAAAAUUGUUCGUCUUUUUUACUCUCCAAAUCCAAAAAUCACAACCUCUCUCUUAGGGUUGAUGAUUUUCGAAUAAAACCUAAUUUAUAGGUUCUUCCUUUUACUAUUUGGUGUGUGAUUCUGAUUCCAUUAGAAGGGUUCCAUUUGGACCAUUCAUCUUGCAAGAAAGUGGUAGGCACAAGAUCACAAACAAGAGAAUCUGAGGUUAGUAACCAUUUCUAUGAUGUUUUUUAAAGUAUGUUGCUAUAAUAGUAAAACAUAGAUUAUAGGUUGUAUGUGCACUUAGGUAUAUCAAGUUUUGAUUUUUCCACUACUUAUCAGUUGUGUACUUGAUGCUGAUAAUCCCCAACAAUAAUCGAGGGUCACAAAUCCACCAUUCAAGAGUAAAAGAAACCAAGGAAAAUCAUGCACCCUUCCUUUUUGAUUUACGAUUUACAUUUAUGUUGCCACCACAAAUAAUUCGUAGAAUGUAGUGGGAGCAAGAUAUGUUGGUGCAGGCGGAGAUGAAGCAUAGUUGUCAAAGGUCGGGUACAUAGAUAACAGAAACGAGAUAGAGAGAUAAGAAAUAAGGCAUUAAUCAUUGGUAGUGUGUACAUACUGUUUACGGUUCUCAAGUAAGAGAAGAGCAGCAUGUAGUAUCACCGGUUAGGGGUAUGCAUGGGUCGGUUUGGGUCGGUUUUGGACUCAAACCCAACCCAACCCAUAAAUGGUCGGUUUCUGGUUUUUAGAACCCAAUAGGAUCGGUUUCUGGUCGGUUCGGUUUCUUGGGUUCUGAGGUCGGUUUGGGCGGUUUUCGGUUUCUUGGGUUCAACCCAUACACUCACGGGUUCUGGGUUUAAACCCAUGGGUUUAAGGUUUUAACCCAUUUUCCAUGAAUGAAGCAACAAGUUAGAUACUUCAAAAAAUAACAAAUUGAAGUUAAGUACUUCAAAAAAUAUGAGUCUUACAACAAAUAGUCAAUUACAACUUACAACUAAAGCCCGAAAUAGUCUAUUACAACUAAAACACAAUCAAGUAUGGGUGGUUUUUCGGGUUGGAUGGGUCGGUUUCUUGGGGCGGUUUGUCGGUUUUAAGUAUGGGUCGGUUUCUUGGGUUGGAUGGGUCGGUUUCUGGUUAGAAACCGAACCCGAACCCGAUUUUUCGGUUUCUAAAAAUAUCAAACCCAAACCGUCGGUUUUGCUUCGGUUUCGGUUUUUUCGGUUUUAGUCGGUUUCUCGGUUUUUUGGUUUGGGUUUGCUCACCUCUAUCACCGGUGAUGAGUUGUGUUUACUGUUUAUGGUUCUCAUAUAGAGAAGAUAAGAGAUAGUGAUAGAUAGAAUACGUUUCAACAUGGAUGUAGGGGCUUCUAUUUAAUUUUAAGAGUUAUAAUAAUUGUAAGUGGAAGAAAAGAAUUAUAAAAAAUGGAAAAAAAGGUUAUAAGUGUCAUUUAUAUAUGUUAUGGAUUAAAUCCGAAACAAAAUCAAAUUAUAGACAUAAUCCUCCGAGUGACCAAAAAAAAAUUAUGGAUCAAAUAUGCGUCUCAAACCAUAAGGAACAAUUGUGUAAGUUACUCUCUUUUUUAUGGUUAUUUUUAUUCAGUUUUGGUAUAUGUUUUGAACUUUAUUCUUCAUGUUCAAGAUAAAGAUAUAUAUGGUCUUUCUUUUAUUUUUCUUUUAGAACAGUUGCAUUAAUAUAAAGAAAACUAGUAUGAAAAUUACAAAGAAUUACAAAGACAAAACUAGAAAUGGGUUAACAAUCCAAACAACCCAUCUAGGUAAAACCUUAUUGUUCCUAUUAACAACCCAAUCAAAAGAUAAAUCAAAAUUUUCUACAAAGAUUAUAUUACGCUUCCAUAUUUCAUCGUUAAAGAUAAUAUCAUUUCGAAAACUCCAAAUCCGCCAUAAGGUGAUAUAAACGAUCGAUUCUGGAAGUACACAAACCUUAACUACACCUUAAAAAUCUUAUAUCCAUUUGAAAAUAUCCUCCCCCGCUACCCAAGAAGGAGCUUGUAUAUCAAACCAUUUAAAAAUAUUCCUCCAAAUGAAAGAAGCAAACUCACACGAUAAUGUCUAAUAUUAAGUCGUAUUACAUAAUGACUGUGCUAACAAUUAUUUUCUUCAAUCAUGUCCAUUCCAAAACUAUCCAUUAUAUGCAUUGUAUUACUACCUACAUGAUAAUAUUUAAAUGUCGAGUACAAUGUGACACACAUGUUACUUCUUAUCUUUUUAAUACGUGACAAUCUAUCUAAAUUUUAUUUAGACAUAAUUUCCAUAACUUUAGAGCUUAUAGAUCUACGAAGGAUAGGAGUCACUAAUAGGGCAGGAGCUUUAUUAAUUUAUAUAUUCAUGAAUGAUGCACCAUCAUCUUGUUGAUUGGUGCAUCGUGUUGAUUUAGUCACCAAUAUGCAUUUCAAGACUUGUUCUCAAUGCCGCGUAACAUUAUAUAUAUAUAAAAUAAAAUCUGAAAUAACUAAAAACGUCGAUCCAUGAUUGUUUCUUCACUUGACUUUAGGUAGGGUUAUUUGUUCGAAAUACAAAAGUUAAAGUCACACACUAAAGAUACUUAACUUACAAUUUUGUAUUAAAAAACUAUUAACAUCACGAAGCAUUAAACUUUGAAGCAGAUCGGACAACCGUACCUACAACUCCGUCCUAACUAUAUAUUUCAUUACCCGAUCUCCAUGUAAGUAACCUCCAAGGCUUUGUUAAACGAAUAAAUUAAUGAAGUAAGCAUGACAUAUUAUAACUAAACAAAGGAGCUUACCAACUCCUGAGUGCUGACUCGUGUUGUCCAUGAUGGUUGGCCAAGUCAACAUCUCCACCUACAAUUGAAAGGACUCACCCCACCAACCCACCACCUUCGUUGCUAAUAAUUAUUCACCAACUCCCUUAUCUAUAUAUUACGACCACUUUUCUCCUUUCAUCUCAGGUUCACUUCUCCAGCCUAAUAUAAUACCUACCAACAUUUCACACACCAGACAUCCAUCGGAAUGGCAGCUACCGGAGAAGCCCAACCCGCAAAACAUCAAGAAGUUGGCCACAAGAGCCUCCUUCAAAGUGAUGCUCUCUACCAAUACAUUCUUGAAACCAGCGUUUACCCGAGAGAGCCAGAACCCAUGAAAGAGUUGCGUGAGGUCACUGCUAAACACCCAUGGUAAGCGCCUUAACUUCUGCAAAUUUACUAUAUACUGAAUAUUCAUGGAUGCAUUUCAUUUUUUUGAAUCUCAAACUGUUUGUCAUUUGACGUAUAGGAAUCUUAUGACGACAUCUGCGGAUGAAGGACAAUUUUUGAAUAUGCUCCUCAAACUCAUAAAUGCCAAGAACACGAUGGAGAUUGGUGUUUAUACUGGUUAUUCCCUUCUUUCUACGGCUCUUGCUCUCCCAGAAGAUGGAAAGAUAUUGGCUUUGGACAUAAACCGUGAAAAUUAUGAAAUUGGCCUUCCGAUCAUUGAGAAAGCCGGUGUUGCCCACAAGAUUGAUUUUAGAGAAGGCCCUGCUCUUCCUCUUCUUGAUGAAAUGGUCAAUGAUGUAAGUACUUACAAGUACAUAUAAAAGAUAAUGUUUUUUUUAAUUUAUAUUUUCUCAAAAUUAUGAAAACUCAUUUUGCUUUGCACAUUUUGAACUACAGGUGAAACUUCAUGGAUCGUUUGAUUUUAUUUUUGUGGAUGCUGAUAAAGACAACUAUCUUAACUACCACAAAAGGUUAAUUGACCUUAUCAAAAUUGGAGGUGUCAUUGGCUACGACAACACCCUUUGGAACGGUUCUUUAGUGGCCCCACCAGAUGCGCCACUCAGGAAGUAUGUUAGAUAUUACAGAGAUUUCGUUUUAGAGCUUAACAAGGCAUUGGCUGUUGAUCCGAG
RNAcentral lists this long non-coding RNA (19286 nucleotides) under Lactuca sativa (garden lettuce). RNAcentral describes it as "long non-coding RNA (LSAT_LNC001783)". Lineage: Eukaryota; Viridiplantae; Streptophyta; Magnoliopsida; Asterales; Asteraceae. The record is from RNAcentral.